CACCGCUCCCAUCCCAUUCUCUUCUCCAGUAUCAACAACACACAGACCACCGCUCCCCAUCCUAUUUUCUUCUCCGGCAUCAACACACAGAUUUUAGGAAGACAGAGAGGAGCAAGAGAGAGACAAAGUUUUAGACAGGUAGAGAGAGCUGAGCGAAGGUGGUGGACGAACGGGUGGUGGUCUCCGUCCGGCCACCGACCGGUGGUGAUGGUCCGGUGGAUUUGACGCAGCAAACAACGGUAGAAGGCGGUGGUGCUUAACGGUUCCGCUGUGACACUAUGGCGACGACAAACCUCCCUUUAGACUACUCCUUUCUUUUGCCAGAUCUGAAGGUUCUGGUGUACGGCGAUGGUGAAGGUUCUGGUGCACGGCUGUACUGGCGAUCGUUCUGGGGAGAUCUUAGUGGGUGACGGAGGAUAGUAGCUGGAAGUCUGACAUUGAUUUGAAUGAAUUGAAUGCUUCGUACCAAUGCCAAACACAGGUCAAGCAAUAGCUUUUCAAUUUGUUUUCUCAUAUAUAAUUUUAGAACUGAAAUAUUCAUAAAAAAGUCAACUUCCAUGUAUCAUUACUAACUUCAUAGCUUUAUAUGAAUGUAUAUGUAAAGCUUCUUACUCGCAUAUUCAAGUUCGCUUAGAAAUUUUGUUUUCUCAUAUAGAGUUUUAGAACAAAAAGAUUCAUUAAAAACAAUCAACUUAAUUUUCGUAGUUGAAAAUUCCCAAUUGUUGUUGCUUUCUUUAUGAAAACUAUAACGCUCUCUGCCUCAACCGCAUUACUCUGCUGCAACUCUAAGGCCAGGUUGGGUCCCAGUGACAAAUUAACAGGUGCAUGUGGGCGAGAUAUGGAUUCAGGCAGCCCUACUUUUUGGGCCGACAUGCUAAGUACUAGCUACGAGGACAUGAUAAUCAAGCACGGAUACAACGAUGCCAAGAUACUACUAGACCUGAUCACUUGCAAAACCGGUGAACCAAUGAUGUUUCGCUAGGUAACUGAUGUUGUUGUGAACAAGGUAACUGAUAUAAUGGCUGACCCUUCAAUAACGACCGGAACUCAUGUCAUGACUACUGAACCGCAAGCCCUCCUGUUACCCCAACCAACACCAGACGCCAAGAACAUUGCAACAAAAAGACGGCUACAAGAUUCACCAGCUUGGAUAAUAUUUGGAUAAAAUAUGUAAACAACAAGUGCAUGUACUUUGGAUCAAAUACAGUAUAGUCGGCGCCGACCUUUUGUAUAUCUCAAGAAAACUAAAUCGUUCUCCAAGCCAUUUUGUAUAUUGUAAGAAGAACUUUUGUAAAGAACAACUACAUGUACUCUGGAUCAACUGUCGUAUAACCAGCACCAAACUUUUGUGUAUUGUAACACUACUUUUGUAUCAUGUCUCCGAAUUCUAUUUUACACGUUAAUAACUUUGCAAAACUGUCGCAACACGCGGGUCCUUCUUACUCGAU
Helianthus annuus (common sunflower) is the source of this 1448-nucleotide long non-coding RNA. RefSeq lists it as uncharacterized. NCBI's taxonomy places the organism in Eukaryota, Viridiplantae, Streptophyta, Magnoliopsida, Asterales, Asteraceae. The record is from RefSeq and is a predicted model, not a curated record. The transcript has 3 exons.